AGAAUGAACGCUGGCGGCGUGCUUAACACAUGCAAGUCGAGCGAGGCCAGGGGGGCAACUCCCUGAGUCGAGCGGCGGACGGGUGAGUAACACGUGGGUAACCUACCCGGAAGUGGGGAAUACCUCGGGGAAACUCGAGCUAAUACCGCAUAACAUCUUCGGGACGAAAGUCCUGACGAUCAAAGCGGGGUCGCAAGAUCUCGCGCUACCGGAUGGGCCCGCGCCCCGAUUAGCUAGUUGGUGAGGUAAUGGCUCACCAAGGCGACGAUC
Molecule: ribosomal RNA, 270 nt
Filed under: uncultured bacterium
Lineage: Bacteria
Description: partial small subunit ribosomal RNA
Rfam family: Bacterial small subunit ribosomal RNA
Source: RNAcentral